CACGUAGGGCGCAAGCGUUGUCCGGAAUUACUGGGCGUAAAGCGCACGUAGGUGGCUUUGUAAGUUAGAGGUGAAAGCCCAGGGCUUAACCCUGGAAUUGCCUUUAAGACUGCAUCGCUAGAAUCGUGGAGAGGUGAGUGGAAUUCCGAGUGUAGAGGUGAAAUUCGUAGAUAUUCGGAAGAACACCAGUGGCGAAGGCGACUCACUGGACACGUAUUGACGCUGAGGUGCGAAAGCGUGGGGAGCAAACAGG
RNAcentral lists this ribosomal RNA (253 nucleotides) under uncultured bacterium. RNAcentral describes it as "partial 16S ribosomal RNA". It matches the Rfam family "Bacterial small subunit ribosomal RNA", at positions 524 to 776 of the family's 1533-position model. The record is from RNAcentral.